RNAcentral lists this ribosomal RNA (531 nucleotides) under Trichoderma velutinum. RNAcentral's name for it is "eukaryotic LSU rRNA". The stretch from base 176 to 329 matches the Rfam family "5.8S ribosomal RNA". The record is from RNAcentral. Lineage: Eukaryota; Fungi; Ascomycota; Sordariomycetes; Hypocreales; Hypocreaceae.
ACGUUACCAAACUGUUGCCUCGGCGGGAUCUUCUGCCCCGGGUGCGUCGCAGCCCCGGACCAAGGCGCCCGCCGGAGGAAUCAACCAAAACUCUUAUUGUAUACCCCCUCGCGGGUUUUUUUUUAUAAUCUGAGCCUUCUCGGCGCCUCUCGUAGGCGUUUCGAAAAUGAAUCAAAACUUUCAACAACGGAUCUCUUGGUUCUGGCAUCGAUGAAGAACGCAGCGAAAUGCGAUAAGUAAUGUGAAUUGCAGAAUUCAGUGAAUCAUCGAAUCUUUGAACGCACAUUGCGCCCGCCAGUAUUCUGGCGGGCAUGCCUGUCCGAGCGUCAUUUCAACCCUCGAACCCCUCCGGGGGGUCGGCGUUGGGGAUCGGCCUUCCUUCACGGGGGCCGUCUCCGAAAUACAGUGGCGGUCUCGCCGCAGCCUCUCCUGCGCAGUAGUUUGCACACUCGCAUCGGGAGCGCGGCGCGUCCACAGCCGUUAAACACCCAACUUUCUGAAAUGUUGACCUCGGAUCAGGUAGGAAUACCC